RNAcentral lists this long non-coding RNA (1350 nucleotides) under Marmota monax (woodchuck). The record is from RNAcentral. Lineage: Eukaryota; Metazoa; Chordata; Mammalia; Rodentia; Sciuridae.
ACUGCAGGACCGUUCACUUAGUGAUGUUCUUUUGAUCAAUUUCCUUUGUAAUCAAGUCACUUUAAAAAAAAGACUUUGCUUUUUGUGGAUAGAAAUUAAUGUGGUUAGAAACCAACUUCACUUACAAUUAAGUAGACUGUAGCUGUAAAAAAAAAACACAAAAAAACCCAAACAUAUAAUGACGACCCAACCAUGUUAAGUUUUUCUGUAUUCUCAGGCCUCACAAAAAUCUCAGCCCAGGAUCUGGAUCUGAGCCUCUGGUCUCUGUCUCUCCCUGUUACAGGGGAGAUUAGCCAUCAGUUUGUUACAAGGGAGAGUCACAGACAGACAGGCACCAGAGAUGCGUUGGCUCUGAUGCCCACCUUCUCGCAGUGGUUUCAGAAAGGCUGAGAGAUGGAUGGAAAGGUAAGAAGGCCAUUGGGUGUCUACCAUAGACCACGGGCAGCUGUGUGGUGGACAGCGAUCUUUAAUGUUGCAUCAGAGGAGCCCCAAGAGUAUCCACAGACCUUAUACGAUCACUGGGUGGCUGGUGCCACGCAGCUUGGAACAGAAAGGACCACAGGUAAAGGACAGGCACCUGCCCUCCAAGGGCAGUGGCUGCUAGGGGAUGAGAGAAGCACGUGGGCUGGGCCGCGCCUGCUCUGAAACCAGGUGCCAUAAGUUCAGUCGCCUCACUGGGCGGCUGUCCCCCGGUCCUUUUGGUUUUCAGGAAGGGUGUCACCAGCCUCUAGGGCCAUCCAAAGCGACAGGUGGUUACCUGCCUGGAGCAAAGGAGGAAGACCAGGGCCCUUUCCUAACUUGGUGAGGUCAAAUUAGGCUCUUUUUAAGGGAGCCUCCAUCCCUGAUGAGCACACCCCUCAGGUGGGAGGAUUGACUUGGAGGCUCUGAGCUGCUGAGGCCAGCUGGGGAAGUGGGCGAAGAGACUCCUGAGGACUUGGCGCUCCUGUGUUCAGACCCAGGCCUUCUCUACCGGAACCUGAGACUUGGUGGGUUCCUUCUCCAUGUGAGUGUGUCACGAGACUCUCCUCCAGGCCGGGCUGAUUGGUUCUAGUCUGCAGGGCAGUUUUAUUUGCCCCAUGAAGUCUUUUAAUUUUUUCCCCACUGUUUAAAAAUAGGGAGAUCAUAUUAAAAAUUCUAUGCUUCUAACGGCUUUCUAAAAAUUGCAAGUUCUGGCCACAUGGAGCCCACAUUCCCACAGAACAACAGUUAGAUAGGGUUUGAGUUACCCAGAGUUCCACAGCCUGCACCACUCCCUGUUGCCAUCCUCAUGCUGAGGCUGAGGACGUUGAGAAGCCAGAAUUCUGACGCCUGGCCGGGGGUGUUCAUUUCCACUCCCUUCACGGUACCAGC